UAAUACGGAGGGUGCAAGCGUUAUCCGGAUUCAUUGGGUUUAAAGGGUACGUAGGCGGAUAGAUAAGUUAGUGGUGAAAUCCCGAAGCUCAACUUCGGAACUGCCAUUAAAACUGUUUAUCUUGAAUUUGGUUGAAGUGGGCGGAAUAUGACAUGUAGCGGUGAAAUGCAUAGAUAUGUCAUGGAACACCAAUAGUGAAGACAGCUCACUAAGCCAAUAUUGACGCUGAGGUACGAAAGCAUGGGUAGCGAACAGGAUUAGAUACCCUGGUAGUCCAUGCCGUAAACGAUGAUUACUAGCUAUUAGCGAUACAAUGUUAGUGGCAAAGCGAAAGCAUUAAGUAAUCCACCUGGGAAGUACGGUCGCAAGAUUG
Molecule: ribosomal RNA, 373 nt
Filed under: uncultured Flavobacteriia bacterium
Lineage: Bacteria; Pseudomonadati; Bacteroidota; Flavobacteriia
Description: bacterial SSU rRNA
Rfam family: Bacterial small subunit ribosomal RNA
Source: RNAcentral